GACGAACGCUGGCGGCGUGCUUAACACAUGCAAGUCGAACGGAAAGGCCCUGCUUUUGUGGGGUGCUCGAGUGGCGAACGGGUGAGUAACACGUGAGUAUCCUGCUCUUCACUUUGGGGUAACUUCAGGAAACUGGGGCUAAUACCGGAUAGGAGCUCCUGCUGCAUGGUGGGGGUUGGAAAUUUUCGGCGGUUGUGGAUGGAGUCGCGGCUUAUGAGCUUGCUGGUGGGGUAGUGUCUUACGAAGGCGUUGACGGGUAGGCGGCCUGAGAGGGCGACCGGCCAAAGUGAGGCGAAGGAGGGGCCCAGACUAGUACGUGAGUCAGCAGUGGGAAAUUUUGUACAAGCAGCGGAAGCCAGUUGCAGCAGCGCCGGGUGCGGGAUGCCGGCCUUCGGGUAGUAAACCGCUUUAGCCUGUUACGAAGCGUUAGUGACGGUAAUUGAUAAAGAAGCACCGGCUAACUGCGUG
RNAcentral lists this ribosomal RNA (468 nucleotides) under uncultured bacterium. RNAcentral's name for it is "partial 16S ribosomal RNA". It matches the Rfam family "Bacterial small subunit ribosomal RNA", at positions 28 to 507 of the family's 1533-position model. The record is from RNAcentral.